This is an unclassified non-coding RNA of Macaca fascicularis (crab-eating macaque), 148 nucleotides long. It matches the Rfam family "Metazoan signal recognition particle RNA". Rfam says of the family: The signal recognition particle (SRP) is a universally conserved ribonucleoprotein. It is involved in the co-translational targeting of proteins to membranes. NCBI's taxonomy places the organism in Eukaryota, Metazoa, Chordata, Mammalia, Primates, Cercopithecidae. The record is from Ensembl.
GCCGGGUGUGGUAGCACACGCCUGUAAUCCCCACUACUUAGGAGGCUGAGGCAGGAGAAUCACUUGAGCCUGGGAGGUGGAGGUUGCAGUGAGCUAAGAUCGUGCCACUGCACUCCAGCCUGGGCAACAGAGUGAGACUCUGUCUCAA